AUCUAUGGCCAUACGACCCUGAACGCAUCCCGUCUUGUCUAAUCUCAGAAGCUAAGCAGAGUCGGGCCUGGUUAGUACUUGGAUGGGAGACCGCCUGGGAAUACUGGGUGCUGUAGGCU
Bison bison bison is the source of this 119-nucleotide ribosomal RNA. The record is from Ensembl. NCBI's taxonomy places the organism in Eukaryota, Metazoa, Chordata, Mammalia, Artiodactyla, Bovidae.